AGAGUUUGAUCCUGGCUCAGGAUGAACGCUGGCGGCGUGCUUAACACAUGCAAGUCGAACGGUGAAGGAGGAGCUUGCUCCUUUGGAUCAGUGGCGAACGGGUGAGUAACACGUGAGUAACCUGCCCCAGACUCUGGGAUAAGCACUGGAAACGGUGUCUAAUACCGGAUACGAGCUUCAGCCGCAUGGCUAGGAGCUGGAAAGAAUUUCGGUCUGGGAUGGACUCGCGGCCUAUCAGCUAGUUGGUGAGGUAAUGGCUCACCAAGGCGACGACGGGUAGCCGGCCUGAGAGGGUGACCGGCCACACUGGGACUGAGACACGGCCCAGACUCCUACGGGAGGCAGCAGUGGGGAAUAUUGCAUAAUGGGCGCAAGCCUGAUGCAGCAACGCCGCGUGAGGGACGACGGCCUUCGGGUUGUAAACCUCUUUUAGUAGGGAAGAAGCGAAAGUGACGGUACCUGCAGAAAAAGCACCGGCUAACUACGUGCCAGCAGCCGGGAA
RNAcentral lists this ribosomal RNA (502 nucleotides) under uncultured bacterium. Its description in RNAcentral is "bacterial SSU rRNA". It matches the Rfam family "Bacterial small subunit ribosomal RNA", at positions 8 to 522 of the family's 1533-position model. The record is from RNAcentral.